Molecule: long non-coding RNA, 566 nt
Filed under: Brassica napus (rape)
Lineage: Eukaryota; Viridiplantae; Streptophyta; Magnoliopsida; Brassicales; Brassicaceae
Description: long non-coding RNA (BNAP_LNC006356)
Source: RNAcentral
GAUCUAGGGAAGAUAAAUGAUAUGGGCAACGAUAUCUUUAGAACACCUUGAUGUUAAAUAGUUUCCAGUAGGUGAAAAUAGACUUUUAUUGAUAUCUGGGAUCGAAUACAAUGAGUCGAACUAGAUCGAAUGUAACACACAAAUUUGAUCAAGAAGGAAUUUAAAUGUGGGAAGACAAUCAGAUUGAUAUGAAUGUAAGGCUCUCUCUAGGGUUUUCAACGUGUCCACCUUCUUGUUUCUUCUCCUUCUUUUAUAGCAAGUCGACUCCGAGAUCUCCGUGCCAGCUCUGCGAUCUCAGUUUCUUGUUGCGCGAUCAUUGCGACCUCUGUGACUCUUUCUUCGAGCUCAAUUCUUGUUGUGGGCCUCGGCAUGUCUCGGUCCAUGUCUAUGAUCGGGCCCCAUUUCGGUCUUGACCAAAAUUGGGUCCAACAUAUACUUUAGGAAAUCAGAUCCUUUGGAUCUAAUAAAGUCAAAUUCUCUUAAAUGGAUGGAAAGUAUUACUUCAGUAAACGUUUAGGGUAUGAAUGGGGUUUAAUUUUCUACAAGUAGACAAAAACAAAGUUUAG